CCUACGGGAGGCAGCAGUGGGGAAUAUUGCACAAUGGGGGGAACCCUGAUGCAGCGACGCCGCGUGAGUGAAGAAGUAUUUCGGUAUGUAAAGCUCUAUCAGCAGGGAAGAAAAUGACGGUACCUGACUAAGAAUCUCCGGCUAACUACGUGCCAGCAGCCGCGGUAAUACGUAGGGGGCAAGCGUUAUCCGGAUUUACUGGGUGGAAAGGGAGCGCAGACGGCUGUGCAAGUCUGGAGUGAAAGGCGGGGGCCCAACCCCCGGACUGCUCUGGAAACCGUAACGCUGGAGUGCAGGAGAGGUAAGUGGAAUUCCUAGUGUAGCGGUGAAAUGCGUAGAUAUUAGGAGGAACACCAGUGGCGAAGGCAGCCUACUAAACUGCCACUGACAUUGAUGCUCGAAAGUGUGGGUAUCAAACAGGAUUAGAUACCCUAGUAGUC
This 440-nucleotide ribosomal RNA is filed under the name uncultured bacterium. Its description in RNAcentral is "partial 16S ribosomal RNA". It matches the Rfam family "Bacterial small subunit ribosomal RNA", at positions 338 to 795 of the family's 1533-position model. The record is from RNAcentral.